AGACUGCAGAGAAAGCUCAGGACCCAGCCUUCUGAUCUACCAGUCGCCUGUGUACCUUUGUACUUUCUACAGUGAAAGUUGCAACAGGAUCUCCCUUUCUCAAUAAAUUCGUCUGUGGUGGAGAAAAUCAGCAUGAGAACUACAGGCCAAGUUAUCAGAUGCAAAGCAGCCAUACUCUGGAAGCCUGGUGCACCAUUUUCUAUUGGGGAGGUAGAAGUGGCCCCACCAAAGGCAAAGGAAGUUCGCAUAAAGGUUGUGGCCACCGGACUGUGUGGUACAGAGAUGAAAGUGUUGGGGAGUAAACACUUGGACCUCUUGUAUCCCACCAUCUUGGGCCAUGAAGGGGCUGGAAUCGUUGAGAGUGUUGGAGAAGGAGUAAGCACAGUGAAACCAGGUGACAAAGUUAUCACACUCUUUCUGCCACAGUGUGGAGAAUGUACCUCUUGCCUGAAUUCUGAGGGCAAUUUUUGUAUACAAUUCAAACAGUCAAAAACCCAACUGAUGUCUGAUGGUACCAGCAGGUUUACCUGCAAGGGAAAAUCAAUAUAUCACUUUGGUAAUACCAGCACCUUCUCUGAAUAUACAGUGAUAAAGGAAAUCUCAGUUGCCAAGAUUGAUGCAGUCGCUCCUCUGGAGAAAGUAUGCCUAAUUAGCUGUGGCUUUUCCACAGGGUUUGGUGCUGCAAUCAAUACUGCCAACGUGACUCCAGGUUCUACCUGUGCUGUGUUUGGCCUGGGAGGAGUCGGCUUGUCUGUUGUCAUGGGUUGUAAAGCGGCAGGAGCAGCCAGGAUCAUUGGAGUGGAUGUCAACAAGGAGAAAUUUAAGAAGGCACAGGAAUUGGGUGCUACUGAGUGCUUCAAUCCUCAGGACUUAAAGAAACCCAUUCAAGAAGUUUUAUUUGAUAUGACAGAUGCUGGUAUAGACUUCUGCUUUGAGGCCAUUGGAAAUCUGGAAUGUUCUGGCAGCUGCCCUCGCCUCCUGCAAUGAGAGCUAUGGGGUCUGUGUGGUUAUUGGGGUGUUGCCUGCUGGUGUUCAACUCAAAAUCAGUGGCCAGUUGUUCUUCUCAGGACGUUCUUUGAAGGGUUCUGUUUUUGGAGGCUGGAAGAGCAGACAGCACAUCCCUAAACUGGUUGCUGAUUAUAUGGCAGAGAAGUUGAAUCUAGAUCCACUAAUUACUCAUACUAUGAAUCUUGAUAAAAUCAAUGAAGCAGUUGAAUUAAUGAAAACUGGAAAAUGUAUCCGCUGUAUCCUGUUACUUUAAGUGUAAUGUAAUAUAUGCAAGACCCAAAGGAUAUUUCACCAACUCAAUAAUUUUCAUGAUUUAGAAGAAUUAUUCACGCAAUCCCAUUUCUAUAUUCUGACUUCUGAUUCACUCUGCAGUGGACCUAUAUCUGGCUUCUGACCUAACCAUUUCAUCAAAAUUGUUCUUAUGUAACCCAGCAUCACCAAGGAUCAGCCUCCUUUUCAGAGCUAGAUUAAGGUUGGCUUGAAUCACCCAACUCCACAUCCUUCAGACAUAAAAGGUCAAUGCAAGAUGCUCCCAUUUUCAUAGUUCCUCUACCUGUGGACCUUUAUAUUUUUGUACACUAUGUCUCUCUCACAGGCCUAGACAUGAAACUCUGCCAUUUUACUCUAAAGAAACAAAACUCCACAUUAAUGAGUUUAUUGAAGAUUCAGGUUAACCUGAAUCAAGUUAACCCAGUCUCAAAUGCUCACUUAUCCUAUCUCCUUGGCACAAAUCUCUCGUCUCCUGGAUUGCCAAAGGAAAUUCAAAUUAUUCUUCAAUUGGUCAGGAUGAUUUGACUAUCAGCAGCUCAUAGUACCCAUCUUCAUAACUAAGCCACCUAGGGAUCCAGCAGAAAAAAAAGGGGUGAGGGGAGUCAUCAUACAUGAGGUGGAUCAUUUACCAGGAUCCACACUUCCUACAAAGCGGUUGUAAUAUUAAACAACAAAACUGUUUUUUAUUCCAAUCUUCACAUAAAACAGGAAUAAUUGUAUACUUUUUUACUAAUGUGUCCCACAGAGUUUUUCCUCCAAGAAGUGGCUUAGGGGAAAAUGAGCCCCAGUAAUGUUUUGUGGCAUCCAAUCCUUCUAUCCUGACCCUUUGACUUUCUGCCCUAGCCCCUCUUAGUUCUCCUAGAAUUAGGCCUAAGGUUAAGUGCCCUCUUGGGAUAUGACUUCCUUCCUUUCCUCUUGAUACAAAAAGAGCCUAUUACCAACCCUCAUACACACAACAAGAGUUCCUUUCCUAGUUGCAGACUCUUCUGCUCCAGCUGGACUCCCCUAGCUCUGGGCUCCCACUAAAUCACACAGGGGCCCCUGCAUGUCAGUAAGCUUUGGCUGACCUUGGGAGACCAAAAAAUGGAAUAUCAUUUUUUGAUCUAAACAAAAUAGUUUCCUGAUUUAACAUUGGCCAGGAAGGUGGGCUGCACCCUCAGUCUCUUUGUCCCAUCAUGGUUUUCACAUGAUAUCAAAGGACUCUCAUGAGAGUCUGAUCCUCAUGAGUUGGGCAUCCUGUGUUUCCCUUUAGGGGCCUGCUUCCUUCAGAUAGAGGAGAUGGGUGCUAUGAAACCUAUUCACAUUGGACUUGGGAUGGCUCUUCUCCAUCUUCCCAAGUCUGAGCUGGAGCCUCCAUGCCCAACUCUGCUCUACUCUUCUAUUUCCUGACAGCAGCUAAGGCAUGCUCCUGUUCUGCCCCCAAAUUAAGCUUACUAACAGUGAGAACUUGGAGGAGUCUUCAGGUCUUGGGAAAUCCAAGUUUUCCCAGAAAUGUUUUGUUGUAAACAGUGUCCACACUCUUUGCUCUAAUAAAGCUCGGUUCCUUAAGCUAC
Nomascus leucogenys (northern white-cheeked gibbon) is the source of this 2831-nucleotide RNA transcript. It is a transcript of the gene named alcohol dehydrogenase 6 (class V), with no coding region annotated. The record is from RefSeq and is a predicted model, not a curated record. NCBI's taxonomy places the organism in Eukaryota, Metazoa, Chordata, Mammalia, Primates, Hylobatidae. The transcript is spliced from 9 exons.